This 117-nucleotide non-coding RNA is filed under the name Nomascus leucogenys (northern white-cheeked gibbon). Lineage: Eukaryota; Metazoa; Chordata; Mammalia; Primates; Hylobatidae. The record is from Rfam by way of RNAcentral.
GCCGGGCACGGUGGCUCAUGCCUGUAAUCCUCGCACUUUGGGAGGCAGAGGUGGGCGGAUCACCUGAGGUCAGGAGUUCAAGACCAGCCUGGCCAACAUGGUGAAACCCCAUCUCUA